RNAcentral lists this transfer RNA (65 nucleotides) under Ranitomeya ventrimaculata (Amazonian poison frog). RNAcentral describes it as "tRNA-Leu". It matches the Rfam family "tRNA", at positions 6 to 65 of the family's 71-position model. From Rfam's summary of the family: Transfer RNA (tRNA) molecules are approximately 80 nucleotides in length. Their secondary structure includes four short double-helical elements and three loops (D, anti-codon, and T loops). The record is from RNAcentral. Lineage: Eukaryota; Metazoa; Chordata; Amphibia; Anura; Dendrobatidae.
UAGCGUAGCAAAAUCUGGUUUUGCUAAAGACCUAAACUCUUUUCAUAGAAGUUCAAAUCCUCUCG